This 403-nucleotide unclassified non-coding RNA is filed under the name fungal sp. RNAcentral's name for it is "partial internal transcribed spacer region". The stretch from base 1 to 46 matches the Rfam family "Eukaryotic small subunit ribosomal RNA", at positions 1786 to 1831 of the family's 1831-position model. The record is from RNAcentral. Lineage: Eukaryota; Fungi.
AAGUCGUAACAAGGUCUCCGUAGGUGAACCUGCGGAAGGAUCAUUCACACAAUUUGUAGGAUAAUUACACGAUAAGGAUAGUAUAUGUAGUGUGGUCAUAUAUGGGGCAUUAAACAAUAACACGUGAGAUGUUCUAUGUGUGAUUAUAUUAUAUGUGCUGUUCAUGUCCCUAUCUAUCUAAUAUCUAUCUAUUUACCACCGACACACCCCUUGACUGCCUGUUUCGUGCACAACGGCUAUUGAUGUGGUAAAACACAACGAAGGUCGCCUUACACCUUUCUUCAUUGCAUGAGCAGCGGCAACUGUAAGUGUAAUGAUGUCAUUAGUCUGAGCCCUUCUAGGGUGGAAAUGUAGUAAUACGUAUAAUAACAUACAACUCUUUGCAAUGGAUAUCUUGGUUCUC